UACGGAGGGUGCAAGCGUUAUCCGGAAUCACUGGGCGUAAAGGGCGCGUAGGUGGUCUGUCGCGUCUGCUGUGAAAGACCGGGGCUUAACUUCGGUUUUGCAGUGGAUACGGGCAUGCUUGAGGUAGGUAGGGGAGACUGGAAUUCCUGGUGUAGCGGUGAAAUGCGCAGAUAUCAGGAGGAACACCGGUGGCGAAGGCGGGUCUCUGGGCCACUACUGACGCUGAGAAGCGAAAGCAUGGGGAGCGAACAGGAUUAGAUACCCCGGUAGU
Molecule: ribosomal RNA, 271 nt
Filed under: uncultured prokaryote
Description: partial 16S ribosomal RNA
Rfam family: Bacterial small subunit ribosomal RNA
Source: RNAcentral